GAAAAAAGAAAAAAAAAAAGCAAAUAAGUGACGUUUUGAGCUUUGAGGUCUAAGACUUUAUAAAGGAAAGGGUACAAAAGACAGUGCAGCAGUCAAGUCAGGAAAAUGGCAAUGAAUUUUCAGUAGUGUGCUUGACUUCCUUUUUAACUGUCAGUGUCUUAUUCUGGAAUCUGUAUCUUAUUACUGACUGCUGAUUAAAUUAUUCAGUGGUUAUUUGAAAGUUGGCAAACAGAUUUUCUCUAAAUCUAAACACAAUUAUCCGUAAGAUAGGAGUGGAUAGGAUGGUGACAUGAGAUGCUUUCUCAUUUAAGCAGUAGCUCCAGUCUACCAAACCUCAUACUUUUAAGUUACUGUCUAUUCUGCCCUGUUAGAAACAUGGUGAUUUCACAUGUUAAUAGUACCUUGGAUGUAAGAUGUAAAUCUACUUCUUAAACUGUGUGUAUGUUGGCAUUUUUGACAAUUUGACUAACUUUUUGAGAGAAGAGUUUGUUCGUAAGGAAACAGGAUAAAACAGCCAAUAAACAAAUAUUUUGCUAAUAAAGUCUACAUUAAUUUGUAAUGUCUGAAAAUGACAUUUUUUUUUCCUGGUAACUUUGUUAGGGCCUUAUCAACUAUGCCUUUUAGGCUGUGACUAGCAGUGAAAUCUAUGUGAUCAUCAGCAAGAAUAACAAACUACUUGGGCUAGUUUUAAUUGAAUAUUUGUGGCAUGUCAUAAAAUACAGGAUAAUUAGGAUGCUGUUGGUUGGGCAGAAUUGAAUAAUUCUGGCAACACUUGAUUAAGCUUUGCAGAAGAGAUGAAGGGCUAUUGCCACUUAGCACAUAUGUGAUUAAUGGAAAUAGGAACCCUGGUAUGGAAGGAACAUCUUGGGCACUGUUUCUGUUGUGAGCUCAGAAGCAGGGUGAUAACUUCUACAGUUUAAGGGAAGAAAAUCUUUCUCCUGCUUUUCCAGUGUCUUGCAUAGGUCCUUUCUGUUUCUGCCUCUUCAGCCCUGGCAUCAAAUUCAACUGCUAGGUCUUCUUUCAAAAAAAACAUUAGUGGAACCAAUAAUAUCUAAGUGACCCUGUUGAAGUCAAGUCUGUGAUGUUAUAUAUAUAUCUGUCAGAAUUUUCCUGGAAGAAUGUAAAUUUACAGUAAAUGCAGCACUGAAAUCAAAAAUACUGUUCUGUAAUACAUUUCUGCACAGGUCAGCAUAUUAAGUUGGUACAUUAUGAAAGCCUGGCAACAGAAAUAGUCUUUCUCAGUCUCUUACUCAUUUUCCAGGAACAUAAAUGAAGGUGAUUGCAUGUUGAAUAAAGAAUAAAACAUUUUUAUUCUCAUUUCUAGACUCUAAAUAAUUAUUAAAUGCAGUACAAAGACUGUAAGUGAAUUAGCUUUUCAACCCAGUAUUGACCAAUAACAGAUUCUACUAAUGGUGGGAAUUGUGUUAAUGAGAAGUUUGCAAGAGAAAGAUUUAUAUGCAUUCAUCAUAUGCAGGUUUCAUAACAUGAGAUUUUGUGGUAUGAAUAGAAGCUUUGAGCAAGUUACUAAGAAAAUAGAGAGGCUACAGUAUGCAAGAAUUUCACCAUAGAGGAAUGAAGAUUGUAUUCUAGGUCUCAAUUUUGAGGUUCUUCUGAAUGGCUUAUCAUGUUGUUCUUGCAUGCAAGCUGUAAAUUCAGGCGAUCAUAUCUACUCAACAUAUUCUAACGCAUCUUCAUAGUUCCACAGUCCCAAGCUACAAAACACUUUUUUUGUUGUACAUUGUUUUUUCUUUUUCUGUUUGUUUAUGUGUUUGUGUUGUUGUUUUUGGUUUUGUUUUCCCCUUUCUCUGGGUGUCAGCUUGAAAUCAUCUAAUUAGCUUGAUCCCUGUUCUGUCUUUGUAUAGGAAAGGGAGGAAGGGGAAUGUAAAGAAGGCAUAAUGCUCUGAUGCUCUCAUGGAGAACACCUUCUACAGAGUCCUAAUCUCCAAGGACAAAAGCUGAGAGCAUCAAGCCACAUCAAGUUAACAUGCUUGGCAGUCCUCCUCCAUCAGCCAUCAGAACAAAAUGGUCUGCAGGAUCCUGGUUGACUGCUCAGACUAGCAGAGAAACUUCUCAAGUCCUCUGGAGGAUGUUUAUCUGGAAACAAUUACUGCUGUAAAGGAGAAUGGGCUGGAUCUGACUGUACUAGCCACAACACUAGAGACAAUAUAAAGAUCCUUGGCCCAAACUGACAACCUUCAUUCAAAGCCACUAUCUGAAGGGAAGAGAGACGAAUCUAAAGAAUCUCUGUCAAAUGUGUUCAGAAAUGAUGCAGCUGAUCAGCAGUUUAACCUUGAAGCUGCAAUUAAAAAUGUUGGCAAAAUGUCUGAUGAGCUAAAGAAACUAAAUGUGGAAAGCCAGCUGCUGCUUUGUGACCUUAUUUUGAAUUUCAACCAUCCCCUGAAGGCCAAAGAUUUAAGAGAAGCUGAAGAAAAAACUCGGAGUUUGACAGAUUAAGUAAUACCAUCCAUUUUCAUACAUUGUCUUCUAUUAAUAGCAAUUGAGUUUCAAUUGAAAAGUGACAAUAUGGUUUCCUGCACUUGGAUUAUUUUUAUUUUGAAUUGGAAAUGUAGAAUGGAAAACAUUUUUGAUUUUGGCAGAGAUUUUAACCUAAAUUUCUCAAAUAUACUAGGUUUGGAAAGAGUAGCAAAAUUAACUAGGAAGGUCAGGAAAUGGGGCAUGAAGUUCUUCACAUGCCUCCUUUUAAAUGAAGACAUAUUGGAAGAGUAACAAAAAGAUUUAAAAUUACUUCACGUCAAGUUAUUGCUCUUGUCUCAGUUGUGUUCCGGAAAAUGGGAUGAGAAAUAUUCAAUAAAAGAGGAACUGCAAGUCAUCAUUUGAUAUGCCUUCCUUAUUCUAAAAAUGUUGCUGUGGAAGGAGGCCACAGAGCAAAUUACUUCUGGAAAACCAGAAGUAUUUCUAUAGUGACUUUCUAAUGCAUAUAGAUUCAAAAGAAAGCAAAAGUUAGUAGUUCAAAUACUCCACUAUGAAGUUUUCUCAGCUAAAAAUUUGUGUAGCCAGUGUAUUCAUAUAAGUAGAAUUCAUAUUUAAGCAGAAUUCCUAUUCAAUCAUACUUUACUUGUAAAAAUUAUCAUCACUUGUGAAAAUGUUUGAAUGUUGAAAUAUGUUUUUAGUCAUACAAAACAUGUUUAUCUGAAUAAUCAAAUCCAGAUUUACUUUGUAGAAAAAGAAUAUGUAGAGCUAUAAUUUGUUAUGUAGGUUUACAUUUUAUUGCUCUUUCCAUAAGUGGGAAAAAAAUGGUGAUUUAAAAACAAAUGAAACAAUUUCAUAGGAGGCAUUUCAGGGUUGUCAGAAUUUUCAAGACAGUGUAAUAAAAUUACAACCUCCAGUUUACACACUCAAUGGUAAUAUUGUGGGAUUGAUCUUAAUUUUAGCAUUUUUGGAAAGACAUAUUAAAACUGAAUUUUCUUUCACAAGACUUGUAGCAGGUUUUUAAAAAAAUACAGUAAUAAAGAUAGGCUUUGUCAGCUGAA
Anas platyrhynchos (mallard) is the source of this 3491-nucleotide RNA transcript. It is a transcript of the gene named chromosome 14 C5orf58 homolog, with no coding region annotated. NCBI's taxonomy places the organism in Eukaryota, Metazoa, Chordata, Aves, Anseriformes, Anatidae. The record is from RefSeq and is a predicted model, not a curated record.